CAAAAACUGCUCGACGGCUGGUGCUUCAUUCCACAAAAAUCUUUUGUUAUUUUGAAAAACUUGCUUUGACGUUUAUUGAUUGAUUGUUUGUUUAUUUGAUCAAUUUUCCUUGGACAGGAAAAGCCACUAGAAUGCUGGCAUAAAAACCUGCUUCUUUUCGGUUAAAAAAAUACAAUAAAUAAAUACAAUUAUAAAGUAAAUAAUGAACUGCGGCUGAAGACAGAACUCCAUCGGUGGAAACCUUUACAGGAGUUCGGAACUGGCUGUUACGGGCUGGAAAGAAAAUAAAAUUAAAAAAGAACCUACGAGAUGAAUGUGGCAAAUGAAAAUAUAGAAUGGACAACUGUAUCGGAACAAUAAAGGAAACAUGAAGUUGAGCUAGAUACAAUUUCAAACGAUCUUUGAAAAUGCUUAGGGAUGAACAUAAGCCAAAUUUAUUAAAAAAGAAAUUGAAGUAAUUAGCACCUUUGAAGGUAAUACUACGUUCACCAGACAAAGUGGAAACAUUUGGACGUUUAAGCAGAUUAUGAUUUCUUGUACCAUGUUGGUGAGAAGAAAGUUCGAAUUUUGUAUUUGUAUGAGUUUGAUUAGAUAAACUUUUAUAUAUAAAAGAACAAACUUGAAUAAUGUAAAUUCCUCUGACAGGCAUAAUGUUUUUCUCUUUAGUAUAUAGAUCAACGGUAUGACUUCUAAGUGGAAGGUUGAAAAUCGAUUUAAGAAAUUUGUUUUGUACUAUUUGAAGUUUAUUUAGAAGAUAAUCGUAAGUAUUCCCCCAGACGGCAGUUAAGUAAGACAGUAAAGAGUUGAAUAAAGAAUGAUAGAUCAGAAUAAGAACAUUUCUUGGAAGCUUAUGCUUUAUUUUAAAAACAAUACCGGUUAUUUUAUUAAGUUUUAGAAUUAACGAGUUAACAUGUGAAGACCAAUUAAGCCUGCUGUCCAAAAGAAUACCCAAAUAUUUAAAUUCAGAUACAAUAUCAAUAUCUGGAAACUCAAUUUUAGUUUGAAUUAAUGGGUUAGGUGUAGAAAGGCUGGAAUUUUUGAUAUUGAUGAUAUUUGUUUUAUUAAUGUUCAAUGUAAGUUUAUUUAUUCUAAAAUAUUCAGAAACAAUCAAAAGGUCAUGUUUCAAAUUUAAAUCAUUUACAGAAUUUAGUCUACUGUUAUAAAAUAAAGAAGAAUCGUCGGCAAAUAA
Culex quinquefasciatus (southern house mosquito) is the source of this 1189-nucleotide long non-coding RNA. RefSeq lists it as uncharacterized. Lineage: Eukaryota; Metazoa; Arthropoda; Insecta; Diptera; Culicidae. The record is from RefSeq and is a predicted model, not a curated record. The transcript is spliced from 2 exons.